This is a non-coding RNA of Ruminococcus sp. DSM 100440, 70 nucleotides long. The record is from Rfam. NCBI's taxonomy places the organism in Bacteria, Bacillati, Bacillota, Clostridia, Eubacteriales, Oscillospiraceae.
UGCCAGCAGAUCAGGCGUAAAACAGUCUGGACUUACUGGAAGUUAGAGGUGCGACCUCGUAAAAAGCGUA